Molecule: long non-coding RNA, 461 nt
Filed under: Equus asinus (donkey)
Lineage: Eukaryota; Metazoa; Chordata; Mammalia; Perissodactyla; Equidae
Description: lncRNA (ENSEASG00005025967.1, ENSEASG00020008824.1)
Source: RNAcentral
UCAGAAUAGAAAAGCUGUAGAGAUCCUUUUUUUCUCUGUCUCUCCUGCACAUUGACUUCCUUCUGAGCAGAUAAACCUCUGUUAGUGGUUCAUAGGCUACACGAUGGGAGGAAGAUGUCCACAACAACAAAGGGUUAUUUUUCUCUCCUGUUCCAUCUCUGUUUCAGGCCAGUGAGGGGUCUACUCCACAUUGUCCUCAUGCAGGGCCCUGGGCUGCUGGAGUCUCCACCAUGUGGCAUGAGAGAGGAAGGGAGCACGGUAUAUAAGAAUUGGCUCUUAAAGCUUCCACGUAGAUAGAGUGAUAUUUUUACAGCACUGGAAGCAAAAUGCGAGUCAAAAUUUACAGCGAAGUUGUGAAACAGGAGAUAAACCUGUACGGAAUGGAAGACACUGAGGCUUAGGGAGGUUAAAUGAUUUGCUGAGGAUCACAUCACUGAAAAGUAGCUGAGCUGAGAUUUGAA